CCUAAAAGAUAACGGAGGCGCUCAAAGGUUUGCUCAGAAUGGUUGGAAAUCAUUCGUAGCGUGUAAAGGCAUAAGCAAGCUUGACUGUGAGACUGACAAGUCGAGCAGGUACGAAAGUAGGACUUAGUGAUCCGGUGGUUCCGUAUGGAAGGGCCAUCGCUCAACGGACAAAAGCUACCCCGGGGAUAACAGGCUCAUCUCCCCCAAGAGUCCACAUCGACGGGGAGGUUUGGCACCUCGAUGUCGGCUCAUCGCAUCCUGGGGCUGUAGUCGGUCCCAAGGGUUGGGCUGUUCGCCCAUUAAAGCGGUACGCGAGCUGGGUUCAGAACGUCGUGAGACAGUUCGGUCCCUAUCCGUCGUGGGCGCAGGAAAUUUGAGAGGAUCUGUCCUUAGUACGAGAGGACCGGGAUGGACAUACCUCUGGUGUACCAGUUGUUCUGCCAAGAGCACCGCUGGGUAGCUACGUAUGGAUUAGAUAAUCGCUGAAAGCAUCUAAGUGAGAAACUAACCUCGAGAUGAGAUUUCCCAUUCGUCAGAAGUAAGACCCCUGAGAGACGAUCAGGUAGAUAGGCUAGAAGUGGAAGUGUAGUGAUGCAUGGAGCGGACUAGUACUAAUAGGUCGAGGACUUAACCAAG
This 636-nucleotide ribosomal RNA is filed under the name Oenococcus oeni. RNAcentral's name for it is "bacterial LSU rRNA". It matches the Rfam family "Bacterial large subunit ribosomal RNA", at positions 2289 to 2925 of the family's 2925-position model. The record is from RNAcentral. Lineage: Bacteria; Bacillati; Bacillota; Bacilli; Lactobacillales; Lactobacillaceae.